This 625-nucleotide unclassified non-coding RNA is filed under the name Pylaiella littoralis. Lineage: Eukaryota; Phaeophyceae; Ectocarpales; Acinetosporaceae. The record is from RNAcentral.
GUGCGACAAGAAGUUCAGGAAGGGAUUGAGGUGAAAGUCCUCCUCCCGAAUCGUUCAUGGGAGAGUCUAUCCAGACUUGCGUAGCGAGUAAUCGCUAGGUGAGAAGCUCUGGAGACAAUGUACCUGCCCUUCAAUUGGAGGUGCCAGGGCUAGGCUUUGUUCCUAUGGCUAGCGAAAGCGAAUACAGGUUAUUAGGCGUCGUGAAAACAAAACUCUUUCGACAUAAGGGAGAGGCUCGUAGAUGAGUUACCCUCCUUUUUAUGGGGUAACUGAACGAUCAAUAUCUACCGGCGUAGACUGUGAGCCUAAAGGAAACGAAUGAAAGUGUCCCUUCCUGGGAACUUGGUAAGCCCAAUAGACUCCCUCUGGGAAACCAGAGGAGGAGUAAGAGCAAUCUUACUUAUCGUCUAGUGGGUAAAAGACAUAAUAGGAAGCAAAUGCUUGGUUGUAACGAUCGAGAUAGAAUCUGUUGAUUUAAGCUGAAAGGCUGCAGACUUAUUAAAUGGGUGUUCUGCUGUAUGGCGUUCGCGCCUAAGCAGCAGAAUGCGUGAGCCGUGUGCGAUGAAAGUCGCAAGCACGGUUCUGAUGGGGGGAAAACGAGAGAUCGUCUACCUAUCCAACUCAA